Thalassophryne amazonica is the source of this 227-nucleotide long non-coding RNA. RefSeq lists it as uncharacterized. The transcript is spliced from 3 exons. Lineage: Eukaryota; Metazoa; Chordata; Actinopteri; Batrachoidiformes; Batrachoididae. The record is from RefSeq and is a predicted model, not a curated record.
GAUGUCAGUCAUUCUCUGCACACCAUCAUCAGCAACCAGAGGAGCCUCUUCAGCCACAGACUGCUCCUUCCCAAGUGCAGGACCAACAGACUGAAAAACUCCUUUGUCCCUCAGGACAACAGACUGUACAACUCCUCACUCAGGGAGAGGAGGAGUAACAAGAAGACAGAGGACGGGAAUGAGAGGAGCAGCAGUAGCCAGUAAACAAGGAAGGAGCAGUAUUUCUG